CGAGUCAGUCCGACGGUCGCGGCGUGGGCAACCACGUCGAGGAAAGUCCGGGCUCCACAGGGCAUGGUGGUGGCCAACAGCCACCCGGGGUGACCCGCGGGACAGUGCCACAGAGAACAGACCGCCUCAUCGUCGUUCAUCGGCGACGGGGUAAGGGUGAAACGGUGGUGUAAGAGACCACCAGCGGCUCCGGUGACGGAGUCGGCUAGGUAAACCCCACCCGGAGCAAGCUCAGACAGUGUGCGUUCGAGGGCGGCCCGCCCGAGCACACGGGUAGGGCGCUGGAGGCCGCUGGCAACAGUGGCCCAAGAUGGAUGACCGUCAGCGUGACCCGGGCAACCGGCCACGUGACAGAACCCGGCUUAUGACUGACUCGUCCG
RNAcentral lists this RNase P RNA (380 nucleotides) under Knoellia sinensis KCTC 19936. Its description in RNAcentral is "bacterial RNase P". It matches the Rfam family "Bacterial RNase P class A". Rfam says of the family: Ribonuclease P (RNase P) is a ubiquitous endoribonuclease, found in archaea, bacteria and eukarya as well as chloroplasts and mitochondria. Its best characterised activity is the generation of mature 5'-ends of tRNAs by cleaving the 5'-leader elements of precursor-tRNAs. Cellular RNase Ps are ribonucleoproteins. The record is from RNAcentral. Lineage: Bacteria; Bacillati; Actinomycetota; Actinomycetes; Micrococcales; Intrasporangiaceae.